UUGAAUUGAAGAGUUUGAUCAUGGCUCAGAUUGAACGCUGGCGGCAGGCUUAACACAUGCAAGUUGAACGGUAGCAGGAANAAGCUUUGCUUUCUUGCUGACGAGUGGCGGAC
This 113-nucleotide ribosomal RNA is filed under the name Pasteurella multocida subsp. multocida str. P52VAC. RNAcentral describes it as "partial 16S ribosomal RNA". It matches the Rfam family "Bacterial small subunit ribosomal RNA", at positions 1 to 103 of the family's 1533-position model. The record is from RNAcentral. Lineage: Bacteria; Pseudomonadati; Pseudomonadota; Gammaproteobacteria; Pasteurellales; Pasteurellaceae.